This 301-nucleotide ribosomal RNA is filed under the name uncultured bacterium. Its description in RNAcentral is "partial 16S ribosomal RNA". It matches the Rfam family "Bacterial small subunit ribosomal RNA", at positions 509 to 807 of the family's 1533-position model. The record is from RNAcentral.
CAGCAGCCGCGGGAAUACGAAGGGGGCUAGCGUUGUUCGGAAUCACUGGGCGUAAAGCGCACGUAGGCGGACACUUAAGUCAGAGGUGAAAUCCCAAGGCUCAACCUUGGAACUGCCUUUGAUACUGGGUGUCUUGAGUUCGGGAGAGGUGAGUGGAACUGCGAGUGUAGAGGUGAAAUUCGUAGAUAUUCGCAAGAACACCAGUGGCGAAGGCGGCUCACUGGCCCGAUACUGACGCUGAGGUGCGAAAGCGUGGGGAGCAAACAGGAUUAGAUACCCGUGUAGUCCCUGUCUCUUAUAC